GAGGGGUGCAAGCGUUAUUCGGAAUCAUUGGGCGUAAAGGGUGCGUAGACGGCUUAUCAAGUCAACUGUUAAAUUCUCCGGCCUAACUGGAGGUCAGCAGUAGAAACUGAUAGGCUUGAGGUUGGAAGAGAGAAGUGGAAUUCUCGGAGUAGCGGUAAAAUGCGUAGAUCUCGAGAGGAACACCGAUGGCGAAGGCAGCUUCUUGGUCCAUACCUGACGUUGAGGCACGAAAGCGUGGGGAGCAAACAGGGAUUAGAUACCCUGGUAGUCCACGCCGUAAACGAUGAUCACUAGACGUUAAUUCUGCUUGCAGAAUCAGUGUCGUAGCUAACGCGCUAAGUGAUCCGCCUGGGGACUACGGUCGCAAGACUA
RNAcentral lists this ribosomal RNA (372 nucleotides) under uncultured organism. Its description in RNAcentral is "partial 16S ribosomal RNA". It matches the Rfam family "Bacterial small subunit ribosomal RNA", at positions 527 to 896 of the family's 1533-position model. The record is from RNAcentral.